UGUCACCAUUACAGAGAGAUUGUCACCACAACGUCUUUGCUAGUCAACCUGGGAGAUUACUUGUAGGUUUUAUGGUGGAGGAUUAUGUGUUGCCUAUUAUGCAUCUCUAAUUAUUAUUGCCUGACAGAGAAAAUAACUCAUAUUGAGUUAAAAAUCAUUCUUAAUAUGAAAAAUUUCAAGAGUCAAUUCAUUUGGAUCAACUCAUCCUUUCCUAAUGAGGUUUCCCAGAGCCCUGAGUGACUCUCAGCGGACUCUGCUCCAUACACGACAGACCACUGUCCACUCGCCUGGCUGCACAAACUCGCAUCCAACACAGCUCCUCUGAUUGGUGGGUCAUCCCUGUUGAAACCCCG
This is a long non-coding RNA of Onychomys torridus (southern grasshopper mouse), 353 nucleotides long. RefSeq lists it as uncharacterized. NCBI's taxonomy places the organism in Eukaryota, Metazoa, Chordata, Mammalia, Rodentia, Cricetidae. The record is from RefSeq and is a predicted model, not a curated record. The transcript is spliced from 4 exons.